Molecule: ribosomal RNA, 254 nt
Filed under: Lentibacillus salicampi
Lineage: Bacteria; Bacillati; Bacillota; Bacilli; Caryophanales; Bacillaceae
Description: Bacterial large subunit ribosomal RNA
Rfam family: Bacterial large subunit ribosomal RNA
Source: Rfam by way of RNAcentral
UGUCCUUAGUACGAGAGGACCGGGAUGGACACACCGCUGGUGUACCAGUUGUUCCGCCAGGAGCACGGCUGGGUAGCUACGUGUGGUCAGGAUAAGUGCUGAAAGCAUCUAAGCAUGAAGCCCCCCUCAAGAUGAAACUUCCCAUCAUGUAAAGUGAGUAAGAUCCCUCAGAGACGAUGAGGUGGAUAGGUCCGAGGUGGAAGCGUGGUGACACGUGAAGCUGACGGAUACUAAUCGAUCGAGGACUUAACUAA